ACGCUGGCGGCGUGCCUAAUACAUGCAAGUAGAACGCUGAAGCUUGGUGCUUGCACCGAGCGGAUGAGUUGCGAACGGGUGAGUAACGCGUAGGUAACCUGCCUCUUAGCGGGGGAUAACUAUUGGAAACGAUAGCUAAUACCGCAUAAAAGUCGAUAUCGCAUGAUGUUGACUUGAAAGGUGCAAUUGCAUCACUAAGAGAUGGACCUGCGUUGUAUUAGCUAGUUGGUGAGGUAACGGCUCACCAAGGCGACGAUACACAGCCGACCUGAGAGGGUGAUCGGCCACACUGGGACUGAGACACGGCCCAGACUCCUACGGGAGGCAGCAGUAGGGAAUCUUCGGCAAUGGGGGCAACCCUGACCGAGCAACGCCGCGUGAGUGAAGAAGGUUUUCGGAUCGUAAAGCUCUGUUGUAAGAGAAGAACGAGUGUGAGAGUGGAAAGUUCACACUGUGACGGUAACUUACCAGAAAGGGACGGCUAACUACGUGCCAGCAGCCGCGGUAAUACGUAGGUCCCGAGCGUUAUCCGGAUUUAUUGGGCGUAAAGCGAGCGCAGGCGGUUAGAUAAGUCUGAAGUUAAAGGCUGUGGCUUAACCAUAGUACGCUUUGGAAACUGUUUAACUUGAGUGCAGAAGGGGAGAGUGGAAUUCCAUGUGUAGCGGUGAAAUGCGUAGAUAUAUGGAGGAACACCGGUGGCGAAAGCGGCUCUCUGGUCUGUAACUGACGCUGAGGCUCGAAAGCGUGGGGAGCAAACAGGAUUAGAUACCCUGGUAGUCCACGCCGUAAACGAUGAGUGCUAGGUGUUGGGUCCUUUCCCGGGACUCAGUGCCGCAGCUAACGCAUUAAGCACUCCGCCUGGGGAGUACGACCGCAAGGUUGAAACUCAAAGGAAUUGACGGGGGCCCGCACAAGCGG
This 918-nucleotide ribosomal RNA is filed under the name uncultured bacterium. RNAcentral describes it as "bacterial SSU rRNA". It matches the Rfam family "Bacterial small subunit ribosomal RNA", at positions 33 to 932 of the family's 1533-position model. The record is from RNAcentral.